GCGUUGUUCGGAAUUACUGGGCGUAAAGCGCACGUAGGCGGGUCGUUAAGUCAGGGGUGAAAUCCCGGAGCUCAACUCCGGAACUGCCUUUGAUACUGGCGAUCUAGAGAUCGGAAGAGGUGAGUGGAAUUCCCAGUGUAGAGGUGAAAUUCGUAGAUAUUGGGAAGAACACCAGUGGCGAAGGCGGCUCACUGGUCCGAUACUGACGCUGAGGUGCGAAAGCGUG
This 226-nucleotide ribosomal RNA is filed under the name uncultured bacterium. RNAcentral's name for it is "partial 16S ribosomal RNA". It matches the Rfam family "Bacterial small subunit ribosomal RNA", at positions 538 to 763 of the family's 1533-position model. The record is from RNAcentral.